GGCGUGCGGUGCUAAUACAUGCAAGUCGAGCGAACUGAUUAGAAGCUUGCUUCUAUGACGUUAGCGGCGGACGGGUGAGUAACACGUGGGCAACCUGCCUGUAAGACUGGGAUAACUUCGGGAAACCGAAGCUAAUACCGGAUAGGAUCUUCUCCUUCAUGGGAGAUGAUUGAAAGAUGGUUUCGGCUAUCACUUACAGAUGGGCCCGCGGUGCAUUAGCUAGUUGGUGAGGUAACGGCUCACCAAGGCAACGAUGCAUAGCCGACCUGAGAGGGUGAUCGGCCACACUGGGACUGAGACACGGCCCAGACUCCUACGGGAGGCAGCAGUAGGGAAUCUUCCGCAAUGGACGAAAGUCUGACGGAGCAACGCCGCGUGAGUGAUGAAGGCUUUCGGGUCGUAAAACUCUGUUGUUAGGGAAGAACAAGUACGAGAGUAACUGCUCGUACCUUGACGGUACCUAACCAGAAAGCCACGGCUAACUACGUGCCAGCAGCCGCGGUAAUACGUAGGUGGCAAGCGUUAUCCGGAAUUAUUGGGCGUAAAGCGCGCGCAGGCGGUUUCUUAAGUCUGAUGUGAAAGCCCACGGCUCAACCGUGGAGGGUCAUUGGAAACUGGGGAACUUGAGUGCAGAAGAGAAAAGCGGAAUUCCACGUGUAGCGGUGAAAUGCGUAGAGAUGUGGAGGAACACCAGUGGCGAAGGCGGCUUUUUGGUCUGUAACUGACGCUGAGGCGCGAAAGCGUGGGGAGCAAACAGGAUUAGAAC
This 766-nucleotide ribosomal RNA is filed under the name Priestia megaterium. RNAcentral's name for it is "bacterial SSU rRNA". It matches the Rfam family "Bacterial small subunit ribosomal RNA", at positions 41 to 784 of the family's 1533-position model. The record is from RNAcentral. Lineage: Bacteria; Bacillati; Bacillota; Bacilli; Caryophanales; Bacillaceae.